UACGUAGGGGGCAAGCGUUGUCCGGAAUUAUUGGGCGUAAAGCGCUCGUAGGCGGAUCGGUAAGUCUGUGAAGAAAGACCCGGGCUCAACUCGGGGAACGGCAUAGAUACUGCUGAUCUUGAGACAGUCAGAGGAUGAUGGAAUUCCUGGUGUAGCGGUGGAAUGCGCAGAUAUCAGGAGGAACACCGGUGGCGAAGGCGGGUCUCUGGGCAGUAACUGACGCUGAGGAGCGAAAGCGUGGGGAGCGAACAGG
RNAcentral lists this ribosomal RNA (253 nucleotides) under uncultured bacterium. RNAcentral describes it as "partial 16S ribosomal RNA". It matches the Rfam family "Bacterial small subunit ribosomal RNA", at positions 524 to 776 of the family's 1533-position model. The record is from RNAcentral.